This 429-nucleotide ribosomal RNA is filed under the name Bacillota bacterium. RNAcentral describes it as "Firmicutes bacterium partial 16S ribosomal RNA". It matches the Rfam family "Bacterial small subunit ribosomal RNA", at positions 355 to 776 of the family's 1533-position model. The record is from RNAcentral. Lineage: Bacteria; Bacillati; Bacillota.
UAGGGAAUCUUCGGCAAUGGACGGAAGUCUGACCGAGCAACGCCGCGUGAGUGAAGAAGGUUUUCGGAUCGUAAAGCUCUGUUGUUAGAGAAGAAUGUUGGUAGGAGUGGAAAAUCUACCAAGUGACGGUAACUAACCAGAAAGGGACGGCUAAUUACGUGCCAGCAGCCGCGGUAAUACGUAGGUCCCGAGCGUUGUCCGGAUUUAUUGGGCGUAAAGCGAGCGCAGGCGGUUCUUUAAGUCUGAAGGUAAAGGUAGUGGCUUAACCAUUGUACGCAUUGGAAACUGGAGGACUUGAGUGCAGAAGGGGAGAGUGGAAUUCCAUGUGUAUCGGUGAAAUGCGUAGAUAUAUGGAGGAACACCGGUGGCGAAAGCGGCUCUCUGGUCUGUACCUGACGCUGAGGCUCGAAAGCGUGGGGAGCAAACAGG